UCGGGAAUUUUGGGCAAUGGGCGAAAGCCUGACCCAGCAACGCCGCGUGAAGGAUGAAGUAUUUCGGUAUGUAAACUUCGUAAGAAUAGGAAGAAUAAAUGACGGUACUAUUUGUAAGGUCCGGCUAACUACGUGCCAGCAGCCGCGGUAAUACGUAGGGACCAAGCGUUGUUCGGAUUUACUGGGCGUAAAGGGCGCGUAGGCGGCGUGGUAAGUCAUCUGUGAAAUCUCCGAGCUUAACUCGGAACGGUCAGAUGAUACUGCUGUGCUAGAGUGCAGAAGGGGCAAUCGGAAUUCUUGGUGUAGCGGUGAAAUGCGUAGAUAUCAAGAGGAACACCUGAGGUGAAGACGGGUUGCUGGGCUGACACUGACGCUGAGGCGCGAAAGCCAGGGGAGCAAACGGGAUUAGAUACCCUAGUAGUCCCUGAGCGGGCUGGCAAGGCGCAU
Molecule: ribosomal RNA, 447 nt
Filed under: uncultured bacterium
Lineage: Bacteria
Description: bacterial SSU rRNA
Rfam family: Bacterial small subunit ribosomal RNA
Source: RNAcentral